GAUAUUGGUCAAUGGGGGCAACCCUGAUCCAGCCAUGCCGCGCGUGUGAAGAAGGUCUUCGGUUUGUAAAGCACUUUAAUUUGGGAGGAAGGGCUAUAGGCUAAUACCCUGAAGUUUUGACGUUACCAACAGAUUAAGCACUGCCUAACUCUGUGCGAGCACCCGCGGUAAUCCAGAGGGCGCAAGCGUUAAUCGGAAUUACUGGGCGUAAAGCGCGCGUAGGUGGUUCAGUAAGAUGGGUGUGAAAUCCCCGGGCUUAACCUGGGAACUGCUUUCAUAACUGCUGAGCUAGAGUACGGUAGAGGGUAGUGGAAUUUCCUGUGUAGCGGUGAAAUGCGUAGAUAUAGGAAGGAACACCAGUGGCGAAGGCGACUACCUGGACUGAUACUGACACUGAGGUGCGAAAGCGUGGGGAGCAAAC
This 421-nucleotide ribosomal RNA is filed under the name uncultured bacterium. RNAcentral's name for it is "partial 16S ribosomal RNA". It matches the Rfam family "Bacterial small subunit ribosomal RNA", at positions 359 to 773 of the family's 1533-position model. The record is from RNAcentral.